This 497-nucleotide ribosomal RNA is filed under the name uncultured bacterium. RNAcentral describes it as "partial 16S ribosomal RNA". It matches the Rfam family "Bacterial small subunit ribosomal RNA", at positions 28 to 507 of the family's 1533-position model. The record is from RNAcentral.
GAUGAACGCUGGCGGCGUGCCUAAUACAUGCAAGUCGAGCGAACAGACGAGGAGCUUGCUCCUCUGACGUUAGCGGCGGACGGGUGAGUAACACGUGGAUAACCUACCUAUAAGACUGGGAUAACUUCGGGAAACCGGAGCUAAUACCGGAUAAUAUAUUGAACCGCAUGGUUCAAUAGUGAAAGACGGUUUUGCUGUCACUUAUAGAUGGAUCCGCGCCGCAUUAGCUAGUUGGUAAGGUAACGGCUUACCAAGGCAACGAUGCGUAGCCGACCUGAGAGGGUGAUCGGCUACACUGGAACUGAGACACGGUACAGACUCCUACGGGAGGCAGCAGUAGGGAAUCUUCCGCAAUGGGCGAAAGCCUGACGGAGCAACGCCGCGUGAGUGAUGAAGGUCUUCGGAUCGUAAAACUCUGUUAUUAGGGAAGAACAAAUGUGUAAGUAACUAUGCACGUCUUGACGGUACCUAAUCAGAAAGCCACGGCUAACUACGUG